RNAcentral lists this ribosomal RNA (292 nucleotides) under uncultured bacterium. RNAcentral's name for it is "partial 16S ribosomal RNA". It matches the Rfam family "Bacterial small subunit ribosomal RNA", at positions 505 to 796 of the family's 1533-position model. The record is from RNAcentral.
GUGUCAGCCGCCGCGGUAAUACGUAGGGUGCGAGCGUUAAUCGGAAUUACUGGGCGUAAAGCGUGCGCAGGCGGCUCUUUAAGUCAGAUGUGAAAGCCCCGGGCUUAACCUGGGAACUGCGUUUGAAACUGGAGAGCUGGAGUGUGGCAGAGGAAGGUGGAAUUCCUGGUGUAGCAGUGAAAUGCGUAGAGAUCAGGAGGAACACCGAUGGCGAAGGCAGCCUUCUGGGCCAACACUGACGCUCAUGCACGAAAGCGUGGGGAGCAAACAGGAUUAGAAACCCCCGUAGUCC